This 620-nucleotide ribosomal RNA is filed under the name Pantoea stewartii. RNAcentral describes it as "bacterial SSU rRNA". It matches the Rfam family "Bacterial small subunit ribosomal RNA", at positions 61 to 670 of the family's 1533-position model. The record is from RNAcentral. Lineage: Bacteria; Pseudomonadati; Pseudomonadota; Gammaproteobacteria; Enterobacterales; Erwiniaceae.
GUCGGACGGUAGCACAGAGGAGCUUGCUCCUCGGGUGACGAGUGGCGGACGGGUGAGUAAUGUCUGGGAAACUGCCCGAUGGAGGGGGAUAACUACUGGAAACGGUAGCUAAUACCGCAUAACGUCGCAAGACCAAAGUGGGGGACCUUCGGGCCUCACACCAUCGGAUGUGCCCAGAUGGGAUUAGCUUGUAGGCGGGGUAACGGCCCACCUAGGCGACGAUCCCUAGCUGGUCUGAGAGGAUGACCAGCCACACUGGAACUGAGACACGGUCCAGACUCCUACGGGAGGCAGCAGUGGGGAAUAUUGCACAAUGGGCGCAAGCCUGAUGCAGCCAUGCCGCGUGUAUGAAGAAGGCCUUCGGGUUGUAAAGUACUUUCAGCGGGGAGGAAGGUGNUGAGGUUAAUAACCUCAGCAAUUGACGUUACCCGCAGAAGAAGCACCGGCUAACUCCGUGCCAGCAGCCGCGGUAAUACGGAGGGUGCAAGCGUUAAUCGGAAUUACUGGGCGUAAAGCGCACGCAGGCGGUCUGUUAAGUCAGAUGUGAAAUCCCCGGGCUUAACCUGGGAACUGCAUUUGAAACUGGCAGGCUUGAGUCUCGUAGAGGGGGGUAGAAUUCC